GACGAACGCUGGCGGCGUGCUUAACACAUGCAAGUCGAACGCUGAAGCUUGGUGCUUGCACUGGGUGGAUGAGUGGCGAACGGGUGAGUAAUACGUGAGUAACCUGCCCUUGACUCUGGGAUAAGCCUGAGAAACUGGGUCUAAUACUGGAUACGACAUGUCACCGCAUGGUGGUGUGUGGAAAGGGUUUUACUGGUUUUGGAUGGGCUCACGGCCUAUCAGCUUGUUGGUGGGGUAAUGGCUCACCAAGGCGACGACGGGUAGCCGGCCUGAGAGGGUGACCGGCCACACUGGGACUGAGACACGGCCCAGACUCCUACGGGAGGCAGCAGUGGGGAAUAUUGCACAAUGGGCGGAAGCCUGAUGCAGCGACGCCGCGUGAGGGAUGACGGCCUUCGGGUUGUAAACCUCUUUCAGCACGGAAGAAGCGAAAGUGACGGUACGUGCAGAAGAAGCGCCGGCUAACUACGUG
This 472-nucleotide ribosomal RNA is filed under the name uncultured bacterium. Its description in RNAcentral is "partial 16S ribosomal RNA". It matches the Rfam family "Bacterial small subunit ribosomal RNA", at positions 28 to 507 of the family's 1533-position model. The record is from RNAcentral.